RNAcentral lists this unclassified non-coding RNA (253 nucleotides) under uncultured Anaerolineae bacterium. RNAcentral describes it as "contains 16S-23S intergenic spacer region". It matches the Rfam family "Bacterial small subunit ribosomal RNA", at positions 524 to 776 of the family's 1533-position model. Lineage: Bacteria; Bacillati; Chloroflexota; Anaerolineae. The record is from RNAcentral.
UACAGAGACCUCAAGCGUUAUCCGGAGUUACUGGGCGUAAAGCGCGUGCAGGCGGGUUAGUAAGUUACUCAUGAAAGCUCCUGGCUAAACUGGGAGAGGUUGAGUGAUACUGCUAGCCUAGAGUGGAUGAGAGGUAAGUAGAAUUCCUUGUGUAGUGGUGAAAUGCGUAGAUAUAAGGAAGAAUACCAGUGGCGAAGGCGACUUACUGGCAUCCAACUGACGCUCAGACGCGAAAGCAUGGGUAGCGAACGGG